RNAcentral lists this ribosomal RNA (1358 nucleotides) under uncultured bacterium. RNAcentral's name for it is "bacterial SSU rRNA". It matches the Rfam family "Bacterial small subunit ribosomal RNA", at positions 28 to 1381 of the family's 1533-position model. The record is from RNAcentral.
GAUGAACGCUAGCUACAGGCUUAACACAUGCAAGUCGAGGGGCAGCAUGGUCUUAGCUUGCUAAGGCCGAUGGCGACCGGCGCACGGGUGAGUAACACGUAUCCAACCUGCCGUCUACUCUUGGACAGCCUUCUGAAAGGAAGAUUAAUACAAGAUGGCAUCAUGAGUCCGCAUGUUCACAUGAUUAAAGGUAUUCCGGUAGACGAUGGGGAUGCGUUCCAUUAGAUAGUAGGCGGGGUAACGGCCCACCUAGUCUUCGAUGGAUAGGGGUUCUGAGAGGAAGGUCCCCCACAUUGGAACUGAGACACGGUCCAAACUCCUACGGGAGGCAGCAGUGAGGAAUAUUGGUCAAUGGGCGAGAGCCUGAACCAGCCAAGUAGCGUGAAGGAUGACUGCCCUAUGGGUUGUAAACUUCUUUUAUAAAGGAAUAAAGUCGGGUAUGGAUACCCGUUUGCAUGUACUUUAUGAAUAAGGAUCGGCUAACUCCGUGCCAGCAGCCGCGGUAAUACGGAGGAUCCGAGCGUUAUCCGGAUUUAUUGGGUUUAAAGGGAGCGUAGAUGGAUGUUUAAGUCAGUUGUGAAAGUUUGCGGCUCAACCGUAAAAUUGCAGUUGAUACUGGAUAUCUUGAGUGCAGUUGAGGCAGGCGGAAUUCGUGGUGUAGCGGUGAAAUGCUUAGAUAUCACGAAGAACUCCGAUUGCGAAGGCAGCCUGCUAAGCUGCAACUGACAUUGAGGCUCGAAAGUGUGGGUAUCAAACAGGAUUAGAUACCUUGGUAGUCCACACGGUAAACGAUGAAUACUCGCUGUUUGCGAUAUACUGCAAGCGGCCAAGCGAAAGCGUUAAGUAUUCCACCUGGGGAGUACGCCGGCAACGGUGAAACUCAAAGGAAUUGACGGGGGCCCGCACAAGCGGAGGAACAUGUGGUUUAAUUCGAUGAUACGCGAGGAACCUUACCCGGGCUUAAAUUGCAGAUGAAUUACGGUGAAAGCCGUAAGCCGCAAGGCAUCUGUGAAGGUGCUGCAUGGUUGUCGUCAGCUCGUGCCGUGAGGUGUCGGCUUAAGUGCCAUAACGAGCGCAACCCUUGUUGUCAGUUACUAACAGGUUCCGCUGAGGACUCUGACAAGACUGCCAUCGUAAGAUGUGAGGAAGGUGGGGAUGACGUCAAAUCAGCACGGCCCUUACGUCCGGGGCUACACACGUGUUACAAUGGGGGGUACAGAGGGCCGCUACCACGCGAGUGGAUGCCAAUCCCCAAAACCUCUCUCAGUUCGGACUGGAGUCUGCAACCCGACUCCACGAAGCUGGAUUCGCUAGUAAUCGCGCAUCAGCCACGGCGCGGUGAAUACGUUCCCGGGCCU